Molecule: long non-coding RNA, 306 nt
Filed under: Elaeis guineensis (African oil palm)
Lineage: Eukaryota; Viridiplantae; Streptophyta; Magnoliopsida; Arecales; Arecaceae
Description: long non-coding RNA (EGUI_LNC058414)
Source: RNAcentral
UAUACUUCAAGGAAAAUACUGAUCAUAGAAUGCAAUCUGAAAUCUUUUUCAGGUAAGUAUUUCACCAUCUUGUUCAUACUUACGCUGUAGUCGCUGACACCAGUUGUAUGCUUCUCCUUGUAGUAAAUAAGCUGCAUAUCAAAUCUUUUCUUCAUCAUGGUACUCUUGGACAGCGAAGGCCUUCUCCAUCUCUAUUAUCCAGUUGUUAGCCUCCAAAGGUUCAGUAGUCUCCUUGAAGACUGGAGGAGCUAGCUUUUUAAAUUCUGAAAUGUUGUUCCAUUGUAUUGGCUGCUCUCCAUAUUGUGG